CACAUAAGCCUGGCUUAGGGU
RNAcentral lists this non-coding RNA (21 nucleotides) under Arabidopsis thaliana (thale cress). Lineage: Eukaryota; Viridiplantae; Streptophyta; Magnoliopsida; Brassicales; Brassicaceae. The record is from RNAcentral.